UCUGGUGGCGAUGGCGAAGAGGUCACACCCGUUCCCAUUCCGAACACGGAAGUUAAGCUCUUCAGCGCCGAUGGUAGUUGGGACUCACGUCCCUGUGAGAGUAGGACGUCGCCAGGC
Molecule: ribosomal RNA, 117 nt
Organism: Bacillus sp. FJAT-27916
Lineage: Bacteria; Bacillati; Bacillota; Bacilli; Caryophanales; Bacillaceae
Source: Rfam